UAGCCAUUAUAUGCCACUUAUGCAGAUUUGUAGCUACAGUACAAAAACCUUCCAUUGGACCUCCCUAAUUUCACUACAGAUGUGUCGUACGCAUGUUCCUCUCUCAUAUAUCACCAGGGCUCGAAUUACCGGGGGGUUGGGUGCGUCGAGCCCCUCACUUAAUAUUCGCAACCCCCCAACUUAUUAUUUUUCAAUUGGGGGGGGGGGGGUCGAGUUUUAACCCCCCCCCUCGAGAAUUUGGGAGAAUUAGUGAGAACGGUAUACUUGCAAGACGGACGACAUACGCCUCACACCCCAAGCCUGGCACCCUUUAACUCCGCCUCUAACUCCACCUCUACAGUGAUGCAAAAAGAAAGGCGUCACAUUUGAGAAGGAGAAACAUAUGCACGGUUGUUGCAAGCACAGUUGCAUUUAAAUUUUGACAGAAGUGGAUACACAAGUUACAUAUAACAGCAGUGAAAGGAGGAGUGUUGCCUGAGGUGAAACGGUGUACCCAAUGCUGCAGAUUGUACCACUGUCCAUUUUGCCAGCCAAGCAAAUAUAAACCCAAUAAAUGCCACCAUUUAAAAAAGCACUUGGAUGUCCAUCUGAAGGGUGCAGUGUGAUGGUUUGUUAUUUAAUGGUUUUUACAUGUAACAUUGUUGAAGGUUGUUUAAUAUAUUUAGUGAACAAUAUGCAUUUCAAGUAAAAUAUCAUUAAUACUUAUUGUUUACAUCUGUUUAUUUAAAUGUUUAUAGAGAAUGCUCAGGAAUACUCACUUGCAAAUACAGUAGGCUCCAUAAUUAUUCAUACCCUUUAUUCAGUGUAAAUGAAAUGGGGGAAUUAAAUUAAAACUUGACCCACCAGCUAAUCGCAAAGUCAGAAUUUAAUGGUGGUUGUAUUUAUUAUUAGAAGAAAGUGCCCACUUAUGAUAAAUCAAACUGCUAUUAAGUACAUAUUUCUAAUUUGGUUUUAGUGGAUGGGUCUAAAUGUUGCUUUAAUCCCCCCAAAGUUGGUUUUAAAAUAUCAACAAAAAGCAAGUGUAUAUUCAUUAUUUCUUGCUAUAUCAUAAAAACAUAUCUGUCAAAAAUAACUGCAUUUUAAUUUAAUAUCCAAACUGCAUUAUAUAUUUGUAAUAAAGUUCUUUGUUUGCGA
Molecule: long non-coding RNA, 1134 nt
Organism: Acipenser ruthenus (sterlet)
Lineage: Eukaryota; Metazoa; Chordata; Actinopteri; Acipenseriformes; Acipenseridae
Exons: 2
Source: RefSeq, a predicted model, not a curated record